This is a long non-coding RNA of Cavia porcellus (domestic guinea pig), 3833 nucleotides long. RefSeq lists it as uncharacterized. The record is from RefSeq and is a predicted model, not a curated record. NCBI's taxonomy places the organism in Eukaryota, Metazoa, Chordata, Mammalia, Rodentia, Caviidae. The transcript is spliced from 3 exons.
CCGCCCCGGAACUGCUCCGCGCUUCCCGGGCUGGGCCGACUGGCACCGAGAGUUAUGGGCGAGUACUUGCGCAGUUGAGGGAGAGUGGGUGCAAGGGUGAUGGCGAACUUGCUGGCCAACACUUGUAACUCUUUUUGGCGUAUCUGAAUUUUUUCCUUGUCAGAGAAGAGCUUCGCUGUAGGGCCAGUUAGCGUAAAUAGGCACCCUUGGUCUGAUUGUCACUCCUCAGGACACUUGUAUUACCGUCUAGGCAAUAGCAGGGCCAGGACAGGAGCCGACCUCUGGCGAUCAGGUGAUUUUGCUGUCAGUGGGCCCUUUUUCCUCCACUUCACUCUGAUUUCUCGCUAAGCACGAGUCCAGGGCUCAGGUUGGAGCUCUGGCUGGACACACCGCCUGAACACGCUGAGUUGCUGCUCUGCCGGCCAAAGCUGUGGAGCCUUUCCUCCUGGGAAAAGACUUUGCAGUCGGCUGGGUUGAUUAUUGUAAACUGACACUUGCUGUUUGAUUGUCAUUCCGUCCCUAUAUAUCAUACUUGCGAGGGGCCGGGUAUAUAGCUCAGCCGCAGGGCACCUGCCUGGCAAGCGCAAGAUCACGAGUUCCAUCCCCAGUAUUAAACCAAAACCAAACAAACCAUUUAUACUUGUAGUCCAGCCACGCUGGUGGCUGAGGCACGAGUUUGAGGGCAGCCUUGGCAAAACUAUCAUCCCCCACCCCCGCCAAAAAAAGAAAGAAAGAUGAAUGGUGGGGAAAUUGUUCUUCUUCUCCCUCCCCUCCCCCACCUUCUUUUGAGGAAGGCUCUUGCCUUGUAGUUCAGGCCAGCCUUGAACUCACCCUAUAGUCUAGGCUGACCUAGAACUCCAAGUGAUCUUCUUGCAUCAGUUUUCUGAGUCCUGGGAUUACAGGGUGCUCCAACCAUACCCAACACUCGUUUUGUUAAUGUGAAAACAUAAUUUUUUUGUUGUUUUAAGUGUAGGAAAAUUUAUUGGUAAAAGGAAUGGAAAACAGGAAUAGCUUCUGAGAGACAGGAGGGGAGCCCAAUGGGUUGUACUUUUUUUUUGGGGGGGGGACGGUCUCUCUCUGAGGCUAGGGCUGCCUUGAACUCAGCUAUGCAACCCAGGGUGGCCUGGGACUUGCAUCAGUCCUCCUGCCUCAGCCCCUCAGGUGUUGGGAUUACAGGCACGCACCACGGUAUCUGGUUAGGGCUGACUGCUUAGGUAUUUUCUCUUUUGCAAACUGUAAACUCUAGGUAAACCGUCAUUAUAGGCAGACAGCACCGUAUUUCAGUCCUGUUUUCUCUGAUCACUAGCAGCUAUUGUAGGAUGUGAGUCUCACUGCACCCAUUGGAGGAGUCUUGCAUAAUCUGGUACCUGUCCUCAGGCCCUGGGUGGCAGGUCUUGUGCAGGAGAGGCCUGCGUCAGCUUCUAUCUUUGGGGUAACCUCUGUUCUCUCAUGGGAGUCUUUUCUUCCAGAUAUGCUGAGCCCCAACCUCUGUGUAAACAAGAUUGUGUCCUGAUCAGGAAGAAAUGUUGAGGCACCGUGGGGCUAACUUAGUGGGCAGAGCCCCAAGAGUUAUAACAGGUACAGGGGCUGUAGGUACAGAAGAAAAAGUGAGACAGGACUGGCCUAGGAUUCUGACAUAGAAGGCCUGGGCUUGGUUUUCUCUGAUACUGUGUGAAACCAGCUUCUUAGAGGAACAGAAAACCUCGUGGUAGCUGAGGGGAAGAGGAUGCAACCAGGGUUAGAAACUGUCAGACAUUCAUGUAAUCCUACUACUCGGGAGGCUGAGGCAGGAUGAUCUUUGCAAGUUUGAGUUCGAGACCAGCCUAGGCUACAAAGAGAGCUCAAGGCCAGCCUGAACUGCAUAGAGAGACCCUGUUGAGAGAGAGAGAGAGAGAGAGAGAGAGAGAGAGAGACAGAGUCAGAGUCCACUGGACCACACUAGGGGGUGCCCCAUGUUUAACAGCGAACAUCCCAUGCAACCCUAAGAGUAGGGUAGGCUCAGUUCUAGUCCAAGGCUUUGGGACAGAGAAUCUGAUUCUGCUUGGAUCACACAUUCCCUUAGCCCAAUCAGCUGUGGGCAUGAGAGGUGUUAAACACUGCCACCAGGCUGCCUCAGCGGAAGUCGCAUUCUUGCCAGAAAAGUCCUGUGAUUUCUAAUGUGGCAAGAACUAGGCAAGUCCAAACUGAAGGACACUGCAAAGCAACUGGCCUGGAUUCUUUAAAAAGGCAAUCAAGCUGGCUGUGGUGGUGUGUGCCUGCAAUCACAGCAAUUGGGAGGCUGAGGCAGGAAGAUCUCUGAAUUUGAGAGCAGCCUGGACUACAUGGUGAGUUCAAAGCCAAUCUGAACUACAUAGUGAGACCCUGUCUCCAAAAAAAAAAAAAAAAAGAAAAAAGAAGUAGACAUUUUAAUGAUCAGUAAUUUGCUUCUCGAUAAACCAGAUUAAACUUUACAAGUACCAUUAAAUCAGCAGUUAUGAAGAACAAAAUGUCAGUGUAUAAACUACCUGCCAAUAAAGAUCAGUUGCUUAUUUUCUCUGAAAUUGACUGUUUAGUGUCCCCACCCCCCCUUUUUUAAAACUACACAGAGAUUAGGAACAACUGAGGAGCCAGGACAGUGGUGGCCCAAGUCUGUGUUCAUACCACUUGAGAGGCUGAGGCAGGAGGAGUGAAGCUUGAGACCAGUCUGGGCUACAUAAACAAGUUCAAAGCCAACCUGACUACAUAGUGAGGCUCUACUUCUGAAACAAACAAAACAUGAUGGAGAAAGUCAGGGGUGUGGUGGUACAUACAUACUAGUAAUCCCAGAAUUUUGGGAGGCUGAGGCAGGAGGGUUGCAAAUUCAAACUCAGCUUAGUUAAUUUAGGAAGACCAUUUCUACACAAAGGAAGGAAGGAGCCGAGAAUGUAACUGUGCUUUGAGUUUAAUCUCCUGUACUGAAAACAAAACACAAACAGAGAACAACUGAGAACCGACUGGGUGCCACGCCUAUGCCUGUUACAUUAAGUACAUGACCGGAAAAGAGGCCUGUAACAUCUGUGCUCUACAAUCACACUUGAAAUUUCCAUUUGUCCUAAAUCCAAACAGUUAAAACUAGAAAGUCCACUGCCAAUCUGUAAAACUAUUUUUAGAAUUUGAUAAUGUACCUAAACUGGCUGGUACCACCCACUGGUCACAGUGGUAAUCUAAGAACAAAGGAGAAGCUGCUUUUCUUAGCUCUGGAAGGUGAGUGGAGGGAGGGAGAGGACAGGAAAAUGGCAGGAGCCAGUCACGCCUGUGUCAGGGGCCCUCCUUGUUCUGCUCUGGCACCGGCUUCUGUCACAGCACCAGCCUGUGCUGGGUAGCUUCACACUGAUAAAAUGACAUUCUGUGUCAACAGGGAUUUUUUUUAAUUGAAAGAAAAACUAUUCAAAACAGAUGGUAAGAAAUUAGACUUUUAUCAAUACACAAGUAAGCUUACUUAAAAUCAGCUCAGUCACAUAUUUAAAAAAGUUGAUAACCUCUCAGUAACAAUGUCCCCUCCUGCACGGGUGUCAGCAAGCCUGCAGUCCCUGAGAAACAUCCGUGCACGAUGAUCCAGGUACUCGCUGACGCUCUCCUCUGGACACCAGCAGAUGGUCACAAACAAAACCAUCUCUGCCUGGCCGAGGUCGAAGAUUUCACAUAAAAGCUUCACAAAAUGUCUCUGAAGGAAACGCGGCAAUGUCAGAAGAGUUCCAGCACUUCAAUUGAAUACAAGCCUCUACUAUUCUUUUCUUGAUUUAAUUUCUGUAGCUCCCGAAAACUUACUUCAAUUUUGUUGAGCUCAGAAUAAACACUUAUCUGAAAAAAAAAAA